AUACGGAGGAUGCGAGCGUUAUCCGGAUUUAUUAGGUUUAAAGGGUGUGUAGGCGGUAUUUUAAGUCGGUGGUGAAAUCUCGGAGCUUAACUUCGAAACUGCCAUUGAUACUGGAAUACUUGAGUAUAGUUGAGGUAGGCGGAAUAUGUAAUGUAGCGGUGAAAUGCAUAGAUAUUACAUAGAACACCGAUUGCGAAGGCAGCUUACUAAACUAUUACUGACGCUGAUGCACGAAAGCGUGGGGAGCGAACAGGAUUAGAAACCCCGGUAGUCC
RNAcentral lists this ribosomal RNA (274 nucleotides) under uncultured bacterium. RNAcentral describes it as "partial 16S ribosomal RNA". It matches the Rfam family "Bacterial small subunit ribosomal RNA", at positions 523 to 796 of the family's 1533-position model. The record is from RNAcentral.